Molecule: ribosomal RNA, 468 nt
Filed under: uncultured bacterium
Lineage: Bacteria
Description: partial 16S ribosomal RNA
Rfam family: Bacterial small subunit ribosomal RNA
Source: RNAcentral
GACGAACGCUGGCGGCGUGCUUAACACAUGCAAGUCGAACGGAAAGGCCCUGCUUUUGUGGGGUGCGCGAGUGGCGAACGGGUGAGUAACACGUGAGUAACCUGCCCUUGACUUUGGGAUAACUUCAGGAAACUGGGGCUAAUACCGGAUAGGAGCUCCUGCUGCAUGGUGGGGGUUGGAAAGUUUCGGCGGUUGGGGAUGGACUCGCGGCUUAUCAGCUUGUUGGUGGGGUAGUGGCUUACCAAGGCUUUGACGGGUAGCCGGCCUGAGAGGGUGACCGGCCACAUUGGGACUGAGAUACGGCCCAGACUACUACGGGAGGCAGCAGUGGGGAAUAUUGCACAAUGGGCGGAAGCCUGAUUCAGCAACGCCGCGUGCGGGAUGACGGCCUUCGGGUUGUAAACCGCUUUCGCCUGUGACGAAGCGUGAGUGACGGUAAUGGGUAAAGAAGCACCGGCUAACUACGUG